UUUCCUACGGGAGGCUGCAGUCGAGAAUUUUUCUCAAUGGGCGAAAGCCUGAAGGAGCGACGCCGCGUGGAGGACGAAGGUCUUCGGACUGUAAACUCCUGUCAUGAGGGAACAAGUAAGUGAUAGUACCUCAAGAGGAAGAGACGGCUAGCUCUGUGCCAGCAGCCGCGGUAAUACAGAGGUGGCAAGCGUUGUUCGGAUUCAUUGGGCGUAAAGGGUGCGUAGGCGGCGCCGUAAGUCUGGUGUGAAAUCCCGGGGCUCAACCCCGGAACUGCACUGGAUACUGCGGUGCUCGAGGACUGGAGAGGAGAUUGGAAUUCACGGUGUAGCAGUGAAAUGCGUAGAUAUCGUGAGGAAGACCAGUGGCGAAGGCGGAUCUCUGGACAGUUCCUGACGCUGAGGCACGAAGGCCAGGGGAGCAAACGGGAUUAGAUACCCCGGUAGUCCUGGCAGUAAACGGUGCACGUUUGGUGUGGGAGGAUUCGACCCCUUCUGUGCCGGAGCUAACGCGUUAAACGUGCCGCCUGGGGAGUACGGUCGCAAGAUUAAAACUCAAAGAAAUUGACGGGGGCCCGCACAAGCGGUGGAGUAUGUGGCUUAAUUCGAUGCAACGCGAAGAACCUUACCAAGCCUUGACAUGCAGGGAUUAACUGGGUGAAAGCCCGGGGAUUGCCGCAAGGUGUAACCUGCACAGGUGCUGCAUGGCUGUCGUCAGCUCGUGUCGUGAGAUGUUGGGUUAAGUCCCGCAACGAGCGCAACCCCUGUGAACUGUUGCCACUCCCUUCGGGGAAGCACUCUGUUCAGACUGCCCUGUGAAACGGGGAGGAAGGUGGGGACGACGUCAAGUCAGGAUGGCCCUUACGGCUUGGGCUGCACACGUACUACAAUGCCCAGUACAGAAUGAUCCGAGACCGCGAGGUGGAGGAAAUCCAUAAAACUGGGCCCAAUUCGGAUUGGAGGCUGCAACUCGCCUCCAUGAAGCCGGAGUUGCUAGUAAACGCGCGUCAGCUAUAGUGCGUUGAAUACGUUCUCGGGCCUUGUACACACCGCCA
Molecule: ribosomal RNA, 1052 nt
Filed under: uncultured Verrucomicrobiota bacterium
Lineage: Bacteria; Pseudomonadati; Verrucomicrobiota
Description: bacterial SSU rRNA
Rfam family: Bacterial small subunit ribosomal RNA
Source: RNAcentral